RNAcentral lists this ribosomal RNA (468 nucleotides) under uncultured bacterium. RNAcentral describes it as "partial 16S ribosomal RNA". It matches the Rfam family "Bacterial small subunit ribosomal RNA", at positions 28 to 507 of the family's 1533-position model. The record is from RNAcentral.
GACGAACGCUGGCGGCGUGCUUAACACAUGCAAGUCGAACGGAAAGGCCCUGCUUUUGUGGGGUGCUCGAGUGGCGAACGGGUGAGUAACACGUGAGUAACCUGCCCUUGACUUUGGGAUAACUUCAGGAAACUGGGGCUAAUACCGGAUAGGAGCUCCUGCUGCAUGGUGGGGGUUGGAAAGUUUCGGCGGUUGGGGAUGGACUCGCGGCUUAUCAGCUUGUUGGUGGGGUAGUGGCUUACCAAAGCUUUGACGGGUAGCCGGCCUGAGAGGGUGACCGGCCACAUUGGGACUGAGAUACGGCCCAGACUCCUACGGGGGGCAGCAGUGGGGAAUAUUGCACAAUGGGCGGAAGCCUGAUGCAGCAACGCCGCGUGCGGGAUGACGGCCUUCGGGUUGUAAACCGCUUUCGCCUGUGACGAAGCGUGAGUGACGGUAAUGGGUAAAGAAGCACCGGCUAACUACGUG